AAUAUAUCUUAAAUAUGUUUUUAUUUAUUUUGUUUUAUGACGAAUGUCCAGGUACAUGCAUUUAAUUGGGCGACCAUAUUCGUACAAUCAAAGGUUUGUAAUAUUGAAAUGACCGAUAUAAAUUAAAAAGACACCAUCCCAACUACAUCAUGUUUCACCAAAUUAAAUGUAUGGACAUGUCCAACCACUGUAAUAUAUUGAGUAAAAUGUUCUUCAUGUUUUUAUCAACAAAAACCAUUUUACUUAUCAAAUAAAGUAAAACGAUUUUAUUGUCGUUUGCAUUCUUUUUUAUUCAUAUUUGUAAAUAAGUAUCACUUGACAUAAAUACAUUAACUCCACACUUAUAUGUACGAAACCCGUGAUUCAUUCAAAAUCGUCGCAAAACUUGUGUACACAUACAUUUUUUUUUGUAAGAAAACUGUAUGGAAUCUGUUGAUCAUUGUUCUAUGUUUAAUGUUAAAAUGUUAAGCGUGCCCAUUUGAUACAAAAUUUAGCAUACUUUAUUUUUUUCAUUUUACUGCAUAGAUUGAACCGCAAAAGGAGCAACACGAAUUUAGAGAAGUAUGUUGGUAAAUUUUGUUUGGUGUCAAUAAAUCUACGACUACAAGACAGGGAAGAGACGAUCAUAUUACAAGAAUGAGCAAAAUGGAUUUACUUUGGUGAAGAAUUAUCUAAUAGACAGAUAUACAGACUAACAUUUGACGGAAUGAAUUAACAGUAAGAAUACAGUUAAAGAAACCGACAACAUGUGUGUUCGAUAUAGGAGUAGAAAACAGACUACUAGCUACAACAUAAAUCAAACUUCUAAAAUGAACAUACAGAACUGCUGGAUACUAGAAUUGUUAAAUCUUAAUGAUAUUCUCCUGGUAAAAAUGUUGUUUUAGUCAUCAGCAGCGUCAACUACGGCAAACUAUGUUUUAUGUAUUUUUAAAUGUAUCUUUUGUCUCCAGAAUCUUUUAGAUUUGCAUACGAGGUUCUUAUUUCGAUUUCGCAAAAAUAUCUUUGAAUUUAAUAACUAUACCAUGUAGUACGGUUCCUCCGAAGAAAUAUCGUAACCCGUACUUGAAUUUUAAAUUUUAGUAUCUUAAAUUAUCCUAAUGUUUGAAUAAAAAAUGGCUAAAUUAGCGGUAAACUUAUUUUGUAUGGCAAUGACAACUAUUACUAUUACAAUUUUUUGUCGUUUAUUCCAAAUUAGCAUAUACCUUUUUUUCCCGAUACUACACUUACUGUACAACGGUAAACAUGCAAAAUGCCCAACUUGUCUACAGAAGCAUCAACACUUCCGCUUAAAAUAGUUGAAAUGCCAAGUCAAGUACAAAAUUGAUGAGAUUUUUAAAUAAAACACUUAAAUAAGAAUAUGAUACCAACAAAUGUAUAAAAGAAUAUUCAAUUUGUGUAUUAUUGACAUGGUACUGUGCUGCAGUUGAUAUUAAAAAUAUAGUCAGCUGUUGGUUUUAUGUCUUCAUUUGCAUUUAUUAUAGAUAUCUGUUU
Mytilus californianus (California mussel) is the source of this 1491-nucleotide long non-coding RNA. RefSeq lists it as uncharacterized. Lineage: Eukaryota; Metazoa; Mollusca; Bivalvia; Mytilida; Mytilidae. The transcript has 3 exons. The record is from RefSeq and is a predicted model, not a curated record.